GGGGCAUAGCUCAGCUGGGAGAGCGCUUGCUUCGCAUGUAAGAGGUCGGGGGUUCGAAUCCCCCUGUCUCC
This 71-nucleotide transfer RNA is filed under the name Candidatus Ornithomonoglobus merdipullorum. It matches the Rfam family "tRNA". From Rfam's summary of the family: Transfer RNA (tRNA) molecules are approximately 80 nucleotides in length. Lineage: Bacteria; Bacillati; Bacillota; Clostridia. The record is from RNAcentral.